GAUGAACGCUGGCGGCGUGCCUAAUACAUGCAAGUCGAGCGAACGGACGAGAAGCUUGCUUCUCUGAUGUUAGCGGCGGACGGGUGAGUAACACGUGUAUAACCUACCUAUAAUACUGGGAUAACUUCGGAAAACGGGAGCUAAUACCGUAUGAUAUUUUGAACCGCAUGGUUCAAAAGUGAAAGACGGUCUUGCUGUCACUUAUAGAUGGAUCCCCGCUGCUUUAGCUAGUUGGUACGGUAACGGGUUACCAAGGCAACGAUGCCUAGCCGACCUGAGAGGGUGAUCGGCCACACUGGAACUGAGACACGGUCCAUACUACUACGGGAGGCAGCAGUAGGGAAUCUUCCGCAGUGGGCGAAAGCAUGACGCAGCAACGCCGCGUGAGUGAUGAAGGUCUUCGGAUCGUAAAACUCUGUUAUUAGGGAAGAACAUAUGUGUAAGUAACUGUGCACAUCGUGACGGUACCUAAUCAGAAAGCCACGGCUAACUACGUG
Molecule: ribosomal RNA, 497 nt
Filed under: uncultured bacterium
Lineage: Bacteria
Description: partial 16S ribosomal RNA
Rfam family: Bacterial small subunit ribosomal RNA
Source: RNAcentral